GACGAACGCUGGCUGCGUGCUUAACACAUGCAAGUCGAACGCUGAAACCCUGGUGCUUGCACCGGGGUGGAUGAGUGGCGAACGGGUGAGUAACACGUGAGUAACCUGCCCCCGACUUCGGGAUAAGCCCGGGAAACUGGGUCUAAUGCCGGAUAGGAGGAUCCCUCGCAUGAGGGAUGCUGGCAAGUUUUUUCGGUUGGGGAUGGGCUCGCGGCCUAUCAGUUUGUUGGUGAGGUAAUGGCUCACCAAGACGACGACGGGUAGCCGGCCUGAGAGGGCGACCGGCCACACUGGGACUGAGACACGGCCCAGACUCCUACGGGAGGCAGCAGUUGGGAAUAUUGCACAAUGGGGGAAACCCUGAUGCAGCGACGCAGCGUGCGGGAUGACGGCCUUCGGGUUGUAAACCGCUUUCAGCAGGGAAGAAGCCCCUCGGGGUGACGGUACCUGCAGAAGAAGUACCGGCUAACUACGUGCCAGCAGCCGCAGUAA
Molecule: ribosomal RNA, 492 nt
Filed under: uncultured bacterium
Lineage: Bacteria
Description: partial 16S ribosomal RNA
Rfam family: Bacterial small subunit ribosomal RNA
Source: RNAcentral